AACCGCCCCUCCUUGCCCUACCUGGGCCCUUUUCCUUUUCGGUCGGAGGAGCUGCAGGCGCCCGGCCUGUCUGGAGCGAGUCGACUCCACGGACCUGGGGCAGGAGAGACGCGUCUCUCGCCCCGGGGCCGUGUGGUGCGCGCAGGAGGGAGGACCAAGAAGCGGACUCUGCCUGGACUUGCCUGGGCUUGUUCAGAGCCGGGCUGCUUCCCUCAGUGGCCGCGCAGAUCCGGGGCGAUUUCGAGAUUUUGCGGGAGCCUUGGAGCCAAGCCCCGGGGAGGAGGAGGCUGGAAGCCCGCGCGACCUGCUCGCCCCGUCCAAGGCUGAGCCCAGGUCUUAGGGAGAGGCAGGACAGGCCUGCACGCCGUCAUCAGCGGGGCCAGCUGUGAGUGUUUCUUUGGCAGUGUCUUAGCUGGUUGUUGUGAGUAAUAAUGAAGGAAGCAAUCAGCAAGUAUACUGCCCUAGAAGUGCUGCACGUUGUUGUGCCCAAGAGGGAAGAAACAGGCAAGACACUCGAGCCACGUGAGACGCCGGGACAGGACGUCGGAGGCUCUGCCCCGCCGUGUCGGCUGGUAAGGGCUGCCGGGGAAGCAAGCUCUCCGGCCACCAGAGCUGGCCUGCUCACGGGUGUUGAAGGAAAAAGGCGCACAGCCUGGGCCAUGGGUGGUUUCUGGCUGGGAGAAGCUUGCACGUAGGAAUGACGAUCACCAGUGUUUAUGAGCACUUUCUGUGUGUGAAGCCCUGUCCUAGGCAUCCUAAAUGUAUUAUCUCAGGAGUAAGAGUCCGUUGUUAUCCCUGUCUUGCAGAGAAGAAACAGAAGUACAAAGAGCAGAAGUAACAAAGGAUGGGAAUUCCCUGGUGGUCCAGUGGUUAGGACUCCGCGCUUCCACUACAGGGAGCACAGGUUCGAUCCCUGGUUGGGGAACUAAGAUCCCACAAGGUGCACAGCGUGGCCAAAUAAUAAUAAUAGAUUUUUUUUUUUAAAGUAACAAAGGACGCAGUUGAUAGAAAGAGGGCCCAAGAGCCCAAGUCUGGCUCCAGACUCUGUACUCUUUUUUUUUUUUUUUUUUUUUUUUUUUAAUUUUUGGCUGCACUCUGUGGCAUGUGGGACCUUAGUUCCCUGACCAGGGAUCGAACCUGCACCCCCUGCAUUGGAAGGCGGAAUCUUAACCACUGGACUGUCGGGGAAGUCCCCAGACUCUACUCUUAACCGCGGGCUAGUGUCCUUAGAGAUGGGCCUAGGGUGGUGUCACUGUCCUGCGGACCCGCUUUGCCGAAUGAUUUGAACGUGAAUACCCUCCACUCUCUCUCUGCAUGAGGCAAAUUUCAAAUGCAGUCAUACGCUUUGGAGAAUGUUCCUGUGUGGGUAUUAGGAGAUGUGUCUGCCUUGGGGAGAGUUUUUCUUUUCAGCUGAAACCGGGCCCAGGAAGUUGAUAAGGAUGAGAAGCUGGUGGUGUUUUCUGCUCUGGUGGCUGAUGAGAAAGGUUCCUCUAAGGGAGCUCAGCUGAGACAACAGUUCGGUUCUCUGGGUCCCACCAGCUCCACCUACCGAUGCCAGCUUUGGGUCCAGUGAGCUGUGAGGCCACAGGAACUCGACCCAAGCCACCAGAAGAUGGAGAACCAAGACACAGUGGUGGCUCUUCCAGGUCUUGGACCACGAGCCCCAGAUAACUCAUCAAGGGGCCCUGCACUUCCCCAGAGUCUGCUAAACCAGCCUUGGGUCCUUGCCUUUCUGCCCUUGGCGUCCGUGCUCAUUGACAUUGAGCUGUGAGUUCCCCGGUUCUCUGUCCCACUGAUUUUCUCCAUUGUUCUCCAACCUGGUGCUUAUAGGCAUUCACCCAUGUCCCUGAGGAGAAACCACGUGACAGUGGCUGACGCCUCUGACCCCAAUGACUAAGACAAAGCCUCCAAGGUCCAGGAAGCGAUGGGUAACUUUCAUGCAGACCAAGGACAGCGCUUGCUGUGACCCCCCCCCCAGCCUCUGCAUGUCCCCUGCUGCUACCCUCCCAGGGCACCUCCCCUGCUUGUGCCCACCCACCUGGACCCCAUCCCUUAGCUCUGUCUUGCCUUUCUCAGUGCUUCCAAACGCUGGAGGAGAGAGGAACCUAUUUCCAUUCUGACCAGUUUAUAAGACCCAGAGGGCUCUUAGAGAGGUUUUCUGGGAUUUGGAAUUGACCCUUGGUCUUGACACACUCUGGCGGAUAGGCCCCUCCUCCAGCCUAAGCCAGUCCUCUUUCUCUUACUGCUGGAGAGCAAAGCAAGCAGCCAAAGCGGAUUCCUGUGGGGACUGUUCUGUUCCUCCUCUGCUCCAGGGGCUGGCUUCAGAGAUGGUCCCUUUGUCAUGCAUAUUGCACCGGCCACGCCCACGCCCAUGUGGCCACAGCUCCCCCUCUGCUGCGCCACGCCCCACCCCCACCCAGCAGUGCGUGGGCUGCAGCGGGGCCACCGAAUGCCUGGGAUGCCGGCUGCAGUGACAGAGCGGGCCCCAAUCCCUCACGGGAGUUUUGACCGAGGCAGCAUUUGGGAUCGCUUAUGAGCUGAAAUCUUUACAUUUUUCCCCAGUUUUAGGCUGAAGUAAAGAAUGCCUGCCUUUUCCAACCACCAACCCUUGAACUUCUAAGACAAAGGGACCACACCCUUGGAUUAUGAUCUAACUAGGCUAUGAAUUUGAGUUCAGGUAAAAUUAUUUGCAAAGUAACCUCUUUUCCUACCUAGCUAGAAACAAGAAAAAUCAUCCUUCUCUGACAGGCAGAGGUCACCUGUAGACAUUCCUGGAUAAUCAGUCAGGAAACAGAAACAGCAGACAGUCUCUGCUUCCCUGCGGGUCUUGGAUAAAACUGAUGUCUUUGUGGCAAUUGAAUUCACUUAUGCAGUCUUUAGAGCAGAUGGAUAGAAUAUUUCUGUCGUCUUUCUAUUUGAUAGUAAUAGAAGAAAUGUAGUGGGAUAUACAUCUAGCUCUUUAUCUCCACUCCUGCAGAGACAGGAGGGAUGAUGUUGUGAGUUUAGAAUAUAUUGGGACAAAGAGAGCUACUUCUCUCUCUCUCUGUCUCUCUCUCUGUCUCUUUCUCUCUCUCACACACACACACACACACAUUCGUGUGCACGCAUGCACCCUGGCCCCGAAUUUGGGGAGUUCAAAGUCCAGUAAGUUGAGGAUAUCCAGACCCGGGGCAGAGUGCACUUCUGCUUUUGAGAACGAAUGGGCAGAUUCUAGUUUGUAGUUGGUGGGUCGGAGAGAGGGAUCAAGAAUUUCAUAGUUGGACUUGGCGUUUGGAGGCAGGUGGAGUUAGAUGCAAAUUUUAUGUUUUUGGGGAAAGUAUUUGAUCUUCUUGACUGUGAGGCAAAGUGAGGGUUAAAAAUAUAUAUUUGAUUAAAAAUAUAUAUGCAUAUAUAUUUAAUAAGCUCUGUGGAUCAUACUAAUAUCAAUUUCCUGGUUUCAGUAUAGUCCUAUAGUUACACAAGGUGUUACUUCUGGGAGAAACUGGCUGAAAGGUACACAGGAUCUCUCUGUACCCUUUUUAUCUUUUCAA
Long non-coding RNA from Orcinus orca (killer whale), 3530 nucleotides. RefSeq lists it as uncharacterized. NCBI's taxonomy places the organism in Eukaryota, Metazoa, Chordata, Mammalia, Artiodactyla, Delphinidae. The transcript is spliced from 2 exons. The record is from RefSeq and is a predicted model, not a curated record.